CCAAGCGGGCUGUCAUGUGGCUUCCAUCUGGCUUCCAUCUGUCAACCCCAAGUUUGCCUCUAUUAUUUAUUUUUAUUCUUCAAACCAAUGGCUGGCACAGGUAUAAAUAUUUWAAAUGAAUCCCGUUCAACCAGGAAAGAUUGAUUAUUUUCAUCAGUAUUACAUUUUGUUGGGCAAUACUUCACCAGCUGAGAAAUUAAUAGGAGAUUUGUUGCCUGGCACAGCAGACUGAGAGGAAAUUGCCAUUUAUUCAACAGAGAUACUUYACAGUUCGGGAGAGGGAUUUUUAUCUCCAAAGAGAAAUUACCACGGGUGCUCGGCCCGGCCUCCGGCCCAGAGAUCUAGUUUCAGAUGCUCUGUGCAUUGACUCUUUGUGCCCAGUGUUCAAUCAUGAUCCUCUCUUCCUCGAGCAGCAUAGUGUUGCAGGCAGCUCUCUGCUGUAGGAAACCAUGGGGCAAGGGGCACCUUACACUGGCUGCCCUGUAGGGCUUAAAUCAUUUACAAUGUUGCUCUGCUUUGGAGAUUUGUUCUGCCCGCAAAUUGUCGUCCUCAUACGUCAUCAUUGUGCUCCCUAUGUAGCUGUUAUUGAUUCCUACUUUCACUCUGGUUGCAUGUAAUGCAGUAAGUUGUUCAUCGCUGCAUCCUGUUUYUGCAUCCAGAAAUGGGGCCAUUCCUGUAUAAAGUGCCGGAGAGAUCCUUUAUCCUUAUUCUAUAUGUAUAUGUUACAUAUUCUGCAUUUGUUUAUCUUGUGCCACUUUCCACAUUUUUGAUGACGUCGCUCUCUCCAGUGCUCCAAGUUGAUCUGUAUGUUCCUAUUGGCUAUGUACACUGACGGACAGCCCACAGAAAAUGCUGAAUGGUUCUGGAGGUGUCUGGAGGAGGCAUCCACURACUUCAGAUAUGGGAAAGCCUACCUGAAAGGACUGAGAUAUGCAGUGUUUGGCCUGGGCAACUCUGUAUGGCAGCCAUUACAAUACGGUGAGUAAGAAUGUGAACAAGUGGCUGUGGAUGCUGAGUGGCAUCCGGGUUCUGUCCAGAGGAGAUGGCAACUGCAACGUAGUGAAGAGCCACAAUGGCAGGCUGACUUUCUGGUCUGGAAGACCAAGUUCCUGAGCUGCCUGCAGGCCCUGGUUGCAGGGCAGAAGAACUGUAGUGGAAACUGUAAGAUGUGCAGCUCCUGUAAGACCAGCAACAGGAAGAAACCACAGGAGAAGACUGCGGACUAUCAGGCAUUUCCAGAACAGCUCAGCUCUGAGGAGGAGCUGGUAGAGUCCGGUAGUGAUGAGGAGACAGCUGGGUCAGAGGAGAAUAGCCCAGGCUCAGUCAUCGAUGUGGAGGAUCUAGGAAACAUCUUGAACGGCAUCAAGAAAACCAAGAGAAGAGAGAGCAGAGCCAGGAGGAUGGACAGAUUGUGAAGCUGUCCAGGCUGAACGGAAUGAUGAAGGCUGAGGAAAAGGAGGAGAGGAGAGAGUUGAUCACUGCUGCCCUGAGGGAGGCCCUGACUAAGCAAGACAUAAUCGUGGAAAUGGAUGGCUAUAAAUUCCUAGACACAAUGAAAUGAAAGSACAUGCAGUACCAAUCAAAGGUUUGGACACACCUACUCAUUCAAGGGUUUUUCUUUAUUUUUA
Non-coding RNA from Salvelinus sp. IW2-2015, 1628 nucleotides. NCBI's taxonomy places the organism in Eukaryota, Metazoa, Chordata, Actinopteri, Salmoniformes, Salmonidae. The record is from RefSeq and is a predicted model, not a curated record.